RNAcentral lists this ribosomal RNA (484 nucleotides) under uncultured bacterium. RNAcentral's name for it is "partial 16S ribosomal RNA". It matches the Rfam family "Bacterial small subunit ribosomal RNA", at positions 30 to 507 of the family's 1533-position model. The record is from RNAcentral.
AUUGAACGCUGGCGGCAGGCCUAACACAUGCAAGUCGAGCGGAUGAAGGGAGCUUGCUCCUGGAUUCAGCGGCGGACGGGUGAGUAAUGCCUAGGAAUCUGCCUGGUAGUGGGGGAUAACGUCCGGAAACGGGCGCUAAUACCGCAUACGUCCUGAGGGAGAAAGUGGGGGAUCUUCGGACCUCACGCUAUCAGAUGAGCCUAGGUCGGAUUAGCUAGUUGGUGGGGUAAAGGCCUACCAAGGCGACGAUCCGUAACUGGUCUGUGCGGAUGAUCAGUCACACUGUAACUGAGACACGGUCCAGACUCCUACGGGAGGCAGCGGUGGGGAAUAUUGGACGAUGGGCGAAAGCCUGAUCCAGCCAUGCCGCGUGUGUGAAGAAGGACUUCGGAUUGUAAAGCACUUUAAGUUGGGAGGAAGGGCAGUAAGUUAAUACCUUGCUGUUUUGACGUUACCAACAGAAUAAGCACCGGCUAACUUCGUG